ACGAACGCUGGCGGCGUGCUUAACACAUGCAAGUCGAACGGAAAGGCCCCCUUGUGGGGUACUCGAGUGGCGAACGGGUGAGUAACACGUGAGUAACCUACCCUUGACUUUGGGAUAACUUCAGGAAACUGGGGCUAAUACCGGAUAGGAGCUCCUGCUGCAUGGUGGGGGUUGGAAAGUUUUGGCGGUUGGGGAUGGACUCGCGGCUUAUCAGCUUGUUGGUGGGGUAGUGGCUCACCAAGGCUUUGACGGGUAGCCGGCCUGAGAGGGUGACCGGCCACAUUGGGACUGAGAUACGGCCCAGACUCCUACGGGAGGCAGCAGUGGGGAAUAUUGCACAAUGGGCGGAAGCCUGAUGCAGCAACGCCGCGUGCGGGAUGACGGCCUUCGGGUUGUAAACCGCUUUCGCCUGUGACGAAGCGUGAGUGACGGUAAUGGGUAAAGAAGCACCGGCUAACUACGUG
RNAcentral lists this ribosomal RNA (464 nucleotides) under uncultured bacterium. Its description in RNAcentral is "partial 16S ribosomal RNA". It matches the Rfam family "Bacterial small subunit ribosomal RNA", at positions 29 to 507 of the family's 1533-position model. The record is from RNAcentral.